GCGUUGGAUGUUAACGUGGAGAGAGCGGAGGAUGUGAUCACGUAUAAAAGAGUUUUGCAGACACCAGAAGCUCAUUCAAAGAUUUGGGAAACACUUAGCUUGACAGUAUGAAGAUAUUGGGCACUUAGAAUCAAGUGAUGCUAACGAUACUUAGUGUAGGUGUCGUGAAAGCAAUGAGUAACCAAUUGCUUAGGUGGUGGUAUGCCUGUCCACGCUUUCGACUAUAGAUCACAUACCAUGUGAUUCAUCAGACAACUGUACCAUAUAACAUUUGCAUUCAAGAGUUAUUGGAGUCAGAUGAACAUGAGAGACGACUCAAGUUCAACCCGACAAGAAAUUCAAUGAUAUUUCAUAAA
Helianthus annuus (common sunflower) is the source of this 356-nucleotide long non-coding RNA. RefSeq lists it as uncharacterized. The record is from RefSeq and is a predicted model, not a curated record. NCBI's taxonomy places the organism in Eukaryota, Viridiplantae, Streptophyta, Magnoliopsida, Asterales, Asteraceae. The transcript is spliced from 3 exons.